AGAAUUGUGGUUGACGCGUGGUCAGGCGUUUUUUCCGAUGGGCUUCAGAUGUGAAGUGACACACAGAUGGAAGUGCCGAUGGCAUUUACAGCAGGAGGGAAAAAACUGGCUCCUUUUUUCUUUCUAGCCUACACACUGUUUCUACGUCUCACUCUCUCUCUCUCGCACACACACGUUCACACGCACACACGUAUACACACUCUUACCGUAGCCUACUUACUGUACACCAAGCGCGAGCUCUUCCGGGUCGGUGCAGGCUGCGGAGUAAAAACACACACUUAACCGCAUGGUAGCGAUUACACACAUCCGUAACGAACCUUAUAAACACAGACAGAGGGGACGUGGACUCGCGGGCCGGGGAGAGGAAACAGGUACCGAACGCGUACGGUCAGUAGCACGGCGCUUCUCUCCGUUUGCACUAUGGAGACAAAUACAGAAUAAUACAGGUGUAUAUUGAUCUGCCAUGAAAUGCUUUGCUCUGUUCUCACCGUCUUGUCUUUUCUCUGACGUCUCCAUUGACCUCUCACCUUUGUGGAAACUGUGAGGGCUGAUUAUCUUCAACUCUGCAAAAACCAACAUCAAUCAGAAAAGCAUGUGCACAUACUUGUUUACAGCAUGAAACUAAAGUUUUUAAUAAACGGUUUAUGAAUGCUUUCCCUUGUCUCUCAUAAAAAGUAGUAUCAUAAUUUACAUGCCAAUAUUUUUACAAAUGAUCAGGGGAAAAUUAUUUUUAGAUGUAAUCUGAAACGCAGCAAUAUUGCGACAUUAUUUCACACACAUUUUUGAAAGCAAUACGAAGAAAAUAGCUAUUGGUUGCUGUCUUUGCUGCAUGUAUGUGAAAAUAUGUAUGGAUUAAAAAUCUCUGUUAUGUUUUUACAAAACAGCAACACAAAUAGCAUUG
This is a long non-coding RNA of Triplophysa dalaica, 901 nucleotides long. RefSeq lists it as uncharacterized. NCBI's taxonomy places the organism in Eukaryota, Metazoa, Chordata, Actinopteri, Cypriniformes, Nemacheilidae. The transcript is spliced from 3 exons. The record is from RefSeq and is a predicted model, not a curated record.